GAUGAACGCUGGCGGCGUGCCUAAUACAUGCAAGUCGAGCGAACAGACGAGGAGCUUGCUCCUCUGACGUUAGCAGCGGACGGGUGAGUAACACGUGGAUAACCUACCUAUAAGACUGGGAUAACUUCGGGAAACCGGAGCUAAUACCGGAUAAUAUAUUGAACCGCAUGGUUCAAUAGUGAAAGACGGUUUUGCUGUCACUUAUAGAUGGAUCCGCGCCGCAUUAGCUAGUUGGUAAGGUAACGGCUUACCAAGGCAACGAUGCGUAGCCGACCUGAGAGGGUGAUCGGCCACACUGGAACUGAGACACGGUCCAGACUCCUACGGGAGGCAGCAGUAGGGAAGCUUCCGCAAUGGGCGAAAGCCUGACGGAGCAAAGCCGCGUGAGUGAUGAAGGUCUUCGGAUCGUAAAACUCUGUUAUUAGGGAAGAACAAAUGUGUAAGUAACUAUGCACGUCUUGACGGUACCUAAUCAGAAAGCCACGGCUAACUACGUG
RNAcentral lists this ribosomal RNA (497 nucleotides) under uncultured bacterium. RNAcentral describes it as "partial 16S ribosomal RNA". It matches the Rfam family "Bacterial small subunit ribosomal RNA", at positions 28 to 507 of the family's 1533-position model. The record is from RNAcentral.